GACGAACCGAGCGAACGUUGUUCGGAAUCACUGGGCUUAAAGGGCGCGUAGGCGGGCUGCCGCGUCCGGGGUGAAAUGCCACGGCUCAACCGUGGAACGGCCUCGGAUACGGGCGGUCUCGAGGGGGGUAGGGGCACCUGGAACUGUGGGUGGAGCGGUGAAAUGCGUUGAUAUCCACAGGAACUCCGGUGGCGAAGGCGAGGUGCUGGACCCCAUCUGACGCUGAGGCGCGAAAGCCAGGGGAGCAAACGGG
RNAcentral lists this ribosomal RNA (253 nucleotides) under uncultured bacterium. RNAcentral describes it as "partial 16S ribosomal RNA". It matches the Rfam family "Bacterial small subunit ribosomal RNA", at positions 524 to 776 of the family's 1533-position model. The record is from RNAcentral.